GGGGGAGUGUCGGAACUGGUAGACGAGCAUGACUUAGGAUCAUGUGGAGAUGAUCCGUGUGGGUUCGAGUCCCACCUUCCCCACCG
This 86-nucleotide transfer RNA is filed under the name Chloroflexota bacterium. RNAcentral describes it as "Chloroflexi bacterium (hot springs metagenome) tRNA-Leu". It matches the Rfam family "tRNA". Rfam says of the family: Transfer RNA (tRNA) molecules are approximately 80 nucleotides in length. Their secondary structure includes four short double-helical elements and three loops (D, anti-codon, and T loops). Lineage: Bacteria; Bacillati; Chloroflexota. The record is from RNAcentral.